RNAcentral lists this ribosomal RNA (425 nucleotides) under uncultured bacterium. RNAcentral describes it as "bacterial SSU rRNA". It matches the Rfam family "Bacterial small subunit ribosomal RNA", at positions 354 to 796 of the family's 1533-position model. The record is from RNAcentral.
GUGGGGAAUAUUGGACAAUGGGCGCAAGCCUGAUCCAGCCAUGCCGCGUGAGUGAUGAAGGCCUUCGGGUUGUAAAGCUCUUUAGCCGAUGAUUAUAAUGACUGUAGUCGGAAAAUAAGCCCCGGCUAACUUCGUGCCAGCAGCCGCGGUAAUACGAAGGGGGCGAGCGUUAUUCGGAAUCACUGGGCGUAAAGCGUGCGUAGGCGGCUUUGCAAGUUGGGAGUGAAAGCCCAGGGCUCAACCCUGGAAUUGCUCUCAAAACUGCAAGGCUCGAAUUCGGGAGAGGAUAGCGGAAUUGUCAGUGUAGCAGUGAAAUGCGUAGAUAUUGACAGGAACACCAGUGGCGUAAGCGGCUAUCUGGACCGAUAUUGACGCUGAGGCACGAAAGCGUGGGGAUCAAACAGGAUUAGAAACCCGUGUAGUCC